Molecule: long non-coding RNA, 239 nt
Filed under: Numida meleagris (helmeted guineafowl)
Lineage: Eukaryota; Metazoa; Chordata; Aves; Galliformes; Numididae
Description: lncRNA (ENSNMEG00000017257.1)
Source: RNAcentral
GGCUUCCCUGCCAUUAGCACUCUGGUAGUGGCCCUGGCAGGCCUCUAGUGUUAAUACACCUGCCCAGCACAAGUAGGGCCAUGCCAGGCGGUGUCCUGGGACCAUGGGCAGAGCAGACAGUCGGCACUGCAACAUGCCUUCACUCCACUGGGAGAGAGUGUUGCUUGGAAUUGCCUGCUGUGCAGUGACUAUGACCCUCUGGUCCCUGUGCAUUUGGCAGCUUGUCGUCAGGUUUCACA